RNAcentral lists this small RNA (136 nucleotides) under Planomonospora parontospora subsp. sphaerica. Its description in RNAcentral is "Planomonospora sphaerica c-di-AMP sequence". It matches the Rfam family "c-di-AMP riboswitch aptamer (ydaO/yuaA leader)". Rfam says of the family: This family represents a conserved RNA structure found upstream of the ydaO and yuaA genes in Bacillus subtilis and related genes in other bacteria. The ydaO/yuaA element is thought to act as a genetic "off" switch for the ydaO and yuaA genes in its native state. The record is from Rfam by way of RNAcentral. Lineage: Bacteria; Bacillati; Actinomycetota; Actinomycetes; Streptosporangiales; Streptosporangiaceae.
ACAGCAGAUAUGCCUAAUCCCGGGCGCCUCGCCCGGGAGCCGGGGAACCACCGCAUCUGGGGUGAACCACAUCAGUGGAAGGGCUUCCUCCAGCCCGAACCCGUCAGCUAACCCGGCCGGCUGAAGGAGAGGAGAG